This 871-nucleotide ribosomal RNA is filed under the name Phellinus hartigii. RNAcentral describes it as "partial large subunit ribosomal RNA". The record is from RNAcentral. Lineage: Eukaryota; Fungi; Basidiomycota; Agaricomycetes; Hymenochaetales; Hymenochaetaceae.
UAACAAGGAUUCCCCUAGUAACUGCGAGUGAAGCGGGAAGAGCUCAAAUUUAAAAUCUGGCGGUCUUCUGGCUGUCCGAGUUGUAAUCUGGAGAAGCGUUUUCUGUGUUAGACCGUGUACAAGUCUCCUGGAACGGAGCGUCAUAGAGGGUGAGAAUCCCGUCCAUGACACGGACUACUAAUACUUUGUGAUACGCUCUCGAAGAGUCGAGUUGUUUGGGAAUGCAGCUCAAAAUGGGUGGUAAAUUCCAUCUAAAGCUAAAUACAGGCGAGAGACCGAUAGCGAACAAGUACCGUGAGGGAAAGAUGAAAAGCACUUUGGAAAGAGAGUUAAACAGUACGUGAAAUUGUUGGAAGGGAAACGCUUGAAGUCAGUCGCRUGUGCAGAACUCAGCCUUGCCUCGGCUUGGUGUACUUUCUGCACAACGGGUCAACAUCAAUUUUGGCCCAUGGAGAAAGGUGGGGGGAAUGUAGCGCUGUUUCGGCAGCGUGUUAUAGCCCUCUAUUGUAUACAUGGGCUGGGAUUGAGGAUCGCAGCACGCCCUUGUGGCCGGGGGUUCGCCCUACGUACCGUGCUUAGGAUGUUGGCAGAAUGGCUUUAAGCGACCCGUCUUGAAACACGGACCAAGGAGUCUAACAUGCUUGCGAGUGUUCGGGUGGAAAACCCUUGUGCGUAAUGAAAGUGAAAGUUGGGAACCUCCGCAAGGGGGUGCACCGACGCCCGGCCCUGACGUUCUCUGACGGUGCUGCGGUAGAGCAAGUAUGCUAGGACCCGAAAGAUGGUGAACUAUGCCUGAAUAGGGCGAAGCCAGAGGAAACUCUGGUGGAGGCUCGUAGCGAUUCUGACGUGCAAAUCGAUCGUCAAAUUUGGG